This is a long non-coding RNA of Mycetomoellerius zeteki, 326 nucleotides long. RefSeq lists it as uncharacterized. NCBI's taxonomy places the organism in Eukaryota, Metazoa, Arthropoda, Insecta, Hymenoptera, Formicidae. The record is from RefSeq and is a predicted model, not a curated record. The transcript has 3 exons.
AUGUGUGUGUGUGUGAGAGCCGCGAUCCUCCCUCGGGCUCCCACAAUCCUCGUGCGCGCAUCGUGUGCAUGCCGUCACCACCGCCACCGCCGUAGGGGUUGCCGCCGUAAAUGGUGCCUAGCCCUGCGACCCCGCGACCCCGUCCACCCGCGAGACAGGUGGGAGCAACGGUGGAUCACGGCGUCCCUCUCACUUCGGCGAUCUGCAUGAAGGGCACCAGAUAGGGUCCGGUAAGAAUGAGGCGGAGCGAUCAUGAUGGCCACGUCGCGCGGCAGGGUCCACCGCCCUUCCGGGUGCUGGCCGUCCCCGACAACAUGUACCUGUCA